RNAcentral lists this transfer RNA (76 nucleotides) under Cloacimonas sp. (SeqCode). RNAcentral describes it as "tRNA-Gly". It matches the Rfam family "tRNA". Rfam says of the family: Transfer RNA (tRNA) molecules are approximately 80 nucleotides in length. Their secondary structure includes four short double-helical elements and three loops (D, anti-codon, and T loops). RNAcentral also lists the same sequence under 1 other name. The record is from RNAcentral. Lineage: Bacteria; Pseudomonadati; Candidatus Cloacimonadota; Cloacimonadia (SeqCode); Cloacimonadales (SeqCode); Cloacimonadaceae (SeqCode).
GCGGGAAUAGCUCAGUUGGUAGAGCGCAACCUUGCCAAGGUUGAGGUCGCGGGUCCGAGUCCCGUUUCCCGCUCCA